Long non-coding RNA from Esox lucius (northern pike), 794 nucleotides. Lineage: Eukaryota; Metazoa; Chordata; Actinopteri; Esociformes; Esocidae. The record is from Ensembl.
GUUUGAGGAGCUUAGCAUGUCAGCCCACAUGUCCAAAACACACUUCGCAAGGUCAAUGAGAGCAGCUGCUGAGAAGCUCACUGAUGGAGUCACUGAACAUUCCCCACCAAGCAAAGAGGUCGUGGUCAAGGUCCAUGAGUCAUGUACAUCAACCAUAAAUCAGGACUUCUUGGACUGGUGGAAGUGGGAUAGUAUUGGAGCAGCAUGCGAGCCAAAGUGCGGAGGGUGCCGCUGUGGAAUCUGUCAGUCAGACAGAAAAGAAAUGACUCUUGCUGAGGAAAGAGAGCCUGAGGUGGUAAGGGAAGGUCUCACCUAUGUCACAGGAGACAGCCACAGCAAAGACCCACAUUGGCCUGCCAGCUAUCCUUGUUUGGAGGACCCAGCUUCUAUACCAAAUAACAAAUGGACGGUUGAAGACACAUUUCUCAGGACAGAGAAACAGCUUUCUAGAGAACCUGAGUGGAAAAGUGCCUACACGGCUCAGGUGCACGGCAUGGUAGACCGAAAAGCUGCAAUGAAAUUGUCUGAAGAUGACAUUGGCAACUGGAAGGGACCAGUGUGGUACGUGAGUCACCUUAUUGCCAUGCAGCGUGCAGAACUGAUGACAACACCCGAAUGGCAGCCGGUUUUUCACCUGCUACUGCUACUGAUAGAAAAGACACAACUGUUAAGCAGUUUAAGGACCUACAAAAAAAUCCAAAAUGCGUUCUUUGGCUGAAGCAAUAACUCAAGUUGAAGUGUGCCAGAAUAAAAGAAGGAAGAGAAAAAGUAUUUGGAAAUUGAGUGAAAUCCAG